Molecule: ribosomal RNA, 468 nt
Filed under: uncultured bacterium
Lineage: Bacteria
Description: partial 16S ribosomal RNA
Rfam family: Bacterial small subunit ribosomal RNA
Source: RNAcentral
GACGAACGCUGGCGGCGUGCUUAACACAUGCAAGUCGAACGGAAAGGCCCUGCUUUUGUGGGGUGCUCGAGUGGCGAACGGGUGAGUAACACGUGAGUAACCUGCCCUUGACUUUGGGAUAACUUCAGGAAACUGGGGCUAAUACCGGAUAGGAGCUCCUGCUGCAUGGUGGGGGUUGGAAAGUUUCGGCGGUUGGGGAUGGACUCGCGGCUUAUCAGCUUGUUGGUGGGGUAGUGGCUUACCAAGGCUUUGACGGGUAGCCGGCCUGAGAGGGUGACCGGCCAAAUUGGGACUGAGAUACGGCCCAGACUCCUACGGGAGGCAGCAGUGGGGAAUAUUGCACAAUGGGCGGAAGCCUGAUGCAGCAACGCCGCGUGCGGGAUGACGGCCUGCGGGUUGUAAACCGCUUUCGCCUGUGACGAAGCGUGAGUGACGGUAAUGGGUAAAGAAGCACCGGCUAACUACGUG